Molecule: non-coding RNA, 203 nt
Organism: Cricetulus griseus (Chinese hamster)
Lineage: Eukaryota; Metazoa; Chordata; Mammalia; Rodentia; Cricetidae
Source: Rfam
AUAGCAGCAACAGCCUUUUGGCUAAGAUCAAGUGUAGUAUCUAUUCUUAUUAGUUUAAUAUCUGAUACGUCCUCUGUCCACUCAAAAUUUAAUUGCCCGUAUGUAUGUAUGUAUGUAUGUAUGUAUGUAUGUAUGUAUGUAUGUGUAGGGAAAGCUGUAGCCACGCCUACUUAGGGUCUGGCUACAGAUGUGCCUGACCACGC